UACGGAGGGUGCAAACGUUGCUCGGAAUCAUUGGGCGUAAAGCGCACGUAGGCGGUUCUGUAAGUCGGGCGUGAAAUCCCUCGGCUUAACCAAGGAAGUGCACUCGAAACUACAGAACUUGAAUACUGGAGAGGGUCGCAGAAUUGUCGGUGUAGAGGUGAAAUUCGUAGAUAUCGGCAGGAAUACCGGUGGCGAAGGCGGCGACCUGGUCAGAUAUUGACGCUGAGGUGCGAAAGCGUGGGGAGCAAACAGG
This 253-nucleotide ribosomal RNA is filed under the name uncultured bacterium. Its description in RNAcentral is "partial 16S ribosomal RNA". It matches the Rfam family "Bacterial small subunit ribosomal RNA", at positions 524 to 776 of the family's 1533-position model. The record is from RNAcentral.